GUGAUAAAAUCUCAAAAAUACGUAACAUUAUUAAUGGACGUACUCGCUGUUGAGCUCUAGCUGGCUCAGUUUAAAACCGUGGUUUCUGCUUGGCCUAGAUCCUCUUCGUGGAGAAUUCACCAGGCCUCACUCGUUUCACAUGAGCUUUCUCUCUACUGCCGUGAACGGUGGGACUGGGAAUUCCGGUUGCUCCUCAUUUGUGUCAAGCGUCUAAGAGGAAGAACGGAGUAAGACAAAAUUAGGCAUGAGGUUGGUGUUCAAUAUCUUGGAAAUGUUUUCUUACCACUGUAUAGAAGGAAUAUAAUAUAUAU
Molecule: long non-coding RNA, 311 nt
Filed under: Fukomys damarensis (Damara mole-rat)
Lineage: Eukaryota; Metazoa; Chordata; Mammalia; Rodentia; Bathyergidae
Description: lncRNA (ENSFDAG00000021698.1)
Source: RNAcentral